This 297-nucleotide ribosomal RNA is filed under the name uncultured bacterium. Its description in RNAcentral is "partial 16S ribosomal RNA". It matches the Rfam family "Bacterial small subunit ribosomal RNA", at positions 333 to 641 of the family's 1533-position model. The record is from RNAcentral.
CGCAUCCUACGGGAGGCAGCAGUCGAGAAUCCUUCAUAAUGGGGGAAACCCUGAUGGUGCGACGCCGCGUGGGGGAAUGAAGGUCUUCGGAUUGUAAACCCCUGUCAUGUGGGAGCAAAUUAAAAAGAUAGUACCACAAGAGGAAGAGACGGCUAACUCUGUGCCAGCAGCCGCGGUAAUACAGAGGUCUCAAGCGUUGUUCGGAAUCACUGGGCGUAAAGCGUGCGUAGGCUGUUUCGUAAGUCGUGUGUGAAAGGCGCGGGCUCAACCCGCGGCCGGCACAUGAUACUGCGAGAC